Molecule: ribosomal RNA, 254 nt
Filed under: uncultured bacterium
Lineage: Bacteria
Description: partial 16S ribosomal RNA
Rfam family: Bacterial small subunit ribosomal RNA
Source: RNAcentral
UACGUAGGGGGCAAGCGUUGUCCGGAUUUAUUGGGCGUAAAGAGCUCGUAGGCGGCUCGGUAAGUCGGAUGUGAAACCUCCAGGCUCAACCUGGAGACGCCAUCUGAUACUGCCGUGGCUUGAGUCCGGUAGAGGAGCAGGGAAUUCCUGGUGUAGCGGUGAAAUGCGCAGAUAUCAGGAGGAACACCAGCGGCGAAGGCGCUGCUCUGGGCCGGAACUGACGCUGAGGAGCGAAAGCGUGGGGAGCGAACAGG